AGGAACCUGCCUAGAGACGCCACAGCAGUGUGCCCAAGUAGUCCUGUUGGCAGCCUGCCCCUAUGCAGCUUUUGGCGAUGCAAAACGACUUCUUGUUCUGCAAGCCAGGAAAUCCAAGCAAGGUGUCGGCAGAUUUGAUGUCUGGUGAGGUUCCAUUCCUCAUAGAUGGUUCCUUCUGUGUAUCAUCACAGGAUGGAAGGGGCAAGUCGAUUCCCUGAAGCCUCUUUUAUAAGGGCACUACGCACUGUGGUAGGCCCAGGAGAUACCAGGAUGAAAGACGUAUUCUAGAGCUCAUUCUGGAGACAAAGACAGCAGCCACCAGAUUUAUUUUAACAAAACUAAAGAGGCUUUGAGAACCAGAAAGGAUCUCACAAGUUGCCAGUCCAUGACAAAGUUUUCUCUGACAAAUGCUGAAAUUUAAAAAUAUGGACAAUGUAUUAAGUUUUCAUAAAAAUAAAUUUAUUCAAUUUAAAAG
Molecule: long non-coding RNA, 475 nt
Filed under: Callithrix jacchus (white-tufted-ear marmoset)
Lineage: Eukaryota; Metazoa; Chordata; Mammalia; Primates; Cebidae
Description: lncRNA (ENSCJAG00000072848.1)
Source: RNAcentral